RNAcentral lists this ribosomal RNA (399 nucleotides) under uncultured bacterium. Its description in RNAcentral is "bacterial SSU rRNA". It matches the Rfam family "Bacterial small subunit ribosomal RNA", at positions 355 to 771 of the family's 1533-position model. The record is from RNAcentral.
UGGGGAAUAUUGGACAAUGGGCGCAAGCCUGAUCCAGCCAUGCCGCGUGAGUGAUGAAGGCCUUAGGGUUGUAAAGCUCUUUUAGCAGGGAAGAUAAUGACGGUACCUGCAGAAAAAGCCCCGGCUAACUUCGUGCCAGCAGCCGCGGUAAUACGAAGGGGGCUAGCGUUGCUCGGAAUUACUGGGCGUAAAGCGCACGUAGGCGGACUCUUAAGUCGGUGGUGAAAUCCUGGAGCUCAACUCCAGAACUGCCUUCGAUACUGGGAGUCUUGAGUUCGGGAGAGGUGAGUGGAACUGCGAGUGUAGAGGUGAAAUUCGUAGAUAUUCGCAAGAACACCAGUGGCGAAGGCGGCUCACUGGCCCGAUACUGACGCUGAGGCGCGAAAGCGUGGGGAGCAA